Molecule: ribosomal RNA, 253 nt
Filed under: uncultured bacterium
Lineage: Bacteria
Description: partial 16S ribosomal RNA
Rfam family: Bacterial small subunit ribosomal RNA
Source: RNAcentral
UACGUAGGGGGCUAGCGUUGUCCGGAAUCAUUGGGCGUAAAGAGCGUGUAGGCGGUCCGGUAAGUCCGCUGUGAAAGUCGGGGGCUCAACCCUCGAAUGCCGGUGGAUACUGUCGGGCUAGAGUACGGAAGAGGCGAGUGGAAUUCCUGGUGUAGCGGUGAAAUGCGCAGAUAUCAGGAGGAACACCAAUGGCGAAGGCAGCACUCUGGGACGUGACUGACGCUGAGACGCGAAAGCGUGGGGAGCAAACAGG